RNAcentral lists this small RNA (605 nucleotides) under Schizosaccharomyces pombe (fission yeast). RNAcentral's name for it is "small heterochromatic RNA precursor". The record is from RNAcentral. Lineage: Eukaryota; Fungi; Ascomycota; Schizosaccharomycetes; Schizosaccharomycetales; Schizosaccharomycetaceae.
UUUUUUUUUUUUUUUUUUUUCAGGACUUGUUGAAAGAGUUAUUACAACUACAACUAUAACUAUAACUACAACUAUAACUACAACGAUAAGAACUAUCACUACUCUGAAGACAACGAUGNGUUUUCUCAAGAUGAUAACGGAUCUAGCUUCGCCAUCAAUAAGUAUGAGACAAAGGAGUCCAUCUUUGAUGAAACAUCCAUUUUCCUGNUGUACAUUUUUGCAGGACAACUAGCCUGAGCACAAGAGACAUGGNGUACUAGACCUUGNGCGGAAUGUCUACUUCAAAACUUGCAUCUUUAUAUCUGAUAUAUAGAGAUAUAGAGAUAUAGAGAUAUAGAGAGAGGCUGAUGAUUUAUAAACACAAACGAUAAGACUUGUAACAUGAAGUUUAUCGGAAAAAGUCAAUCUUUAAAUUCCUUUCUGAACCUCUCUGUUAUGUCAGNGCUUCGGNACCAUGCUUUUAGUGCGGUCAUUUAAAGGCAUAGCGAUGAUAGUUCUAAAGGUACUGUAUUGGAUCAAUUGGAAGAACCAUCCAAAUAAAAAAAAGCAUGCGAAAUGCUAGGAUUAUCAGUAACUGCCAAUAAAAAAAGAUACCAAAAAUUUUC